GUACUAAUCUUCAGCAGUACAUAUUCUAAAAUUGGAAUAAUACAGAUAAGAUUAGCACAGUCCUGUGUGAGGAUGACAUGUAAAUUUGUGAAGUCAGAGUCAUAGAG
Molecule: small nuclear RNA, 107 nt
Organism: Chiloscyllium plagiosum (whitespotted bambooshark)
Lineage: Eukaryota; Metazoa; Chordata; Chondrichthyes; Orectolobiformes; Hemiscylliidae
Source: RefSeq, a predicted model, not a curated record